AACGCAGCGAAGGGCGAUAAGUAAUGUGAAUUGCAGAAUUCAGUGAAUCAUCGAAUCUUUGAACGCACCUUGCGCCCCUUGGUAUUCCGAGGGGCACGCCCGUUUGAGUGUCAUUAAAUUCUCAACCUUACCAGCUUUUACUAGUUGGCUUAGGCUUGGAUGUGGGGGGUUGCAGGCUUCUCAGAGGUCAGCUCUCCUUAAAUGCAUUAGCGGAACCUUUGUGGACCGUCUCUGGUGUGAUAAUUAUCUACGCCAUUGCCGUGAAGCAGCUUACAUGGGGUUCAGCUUCAAACCGUCCAUUGACUUGGACAACUUUGACAUUUUGACCUCAAAUCGGGCGGGACUACCCGCUGAACUUAA
RNAcentral lists this ribosomal RNA (360 nucleotides) under uncultured fungus. Its description in RNAcentral is "eukaryotic LSU rRNA". The stretch from base 1 to 113 matches the Rfam family "5.8S ribosomal RNA", at positions 42 to 154 of the family's 154-position model. Lineage: Eukaryota; Fungi. The record is from RNAcentral.